RNAcentral lists this ribosomal RNA (467 nucleotides) under uncultured bacterium. RNAcentral's name for it is "partial 16S ribosomal RNA". It matches the Rfam family "Bacterial small subunit ribosomal RNA", at positions 28 to 506 of the family's 1533-position model. The record is from RNAcentral.
GACGAACGCUGGCGGCGUGCUUAACACAUGCAAGUCGAACGGAAAGGCCCUGCUUUUGUGGGGUGCUCGAGUGGCGAACGGGUGAGUAACACGUGAGUAACCUGCCCUUGACUUUGGGAUAACUUCAGGAAACUGGGGCUAAUACCGGAUAGGAGCUCCUGCUGCAUGGUGGGGGUUGGAAAGUUUCGGCGGUUGGGGAUGGACUCGCGGCUUAUCAGCUUGUUGGUGGGGUAGUGGCUUACCAAGGCUUUGACGGGUAGCCGGCCUGGGAGGGUGACCGGCCACAUUGGGACUGAGAUACGGCCCAGACUCCUACGGGAGGCAGCGGUGGGGAAUAUUGCACAAUGGGCGGAAGCGUGAUGCAGCAACGCCGCGUGCGGGAGGACGGCCUUCGGGUUGUAAACCGCUUUCGCCUGUGACGAAGCGUGAGUGACGGUAAUGGGUAAAGAAGCACCGGCUAACUACGU